CUUUGGGGUGUGACUGCGUACCUUUUGUAUAAUGGGUCAGCGACUUAUAUUCUGUAGCAAGGUUAACCGAAUAGGGGAGCCGGAGGGAAACCGAGUCUUAAUUGGGCGUUAAGUUGCAGGGUAUAGACCCGAAACCCGGUGAUCUAGCCAUGGGCAGGUUGAAGGUUGGGUAACACUAACUGGAGGACCGAACCGACUAAUGUUGAAAAAUUAGCGGAUGACCUGUGGCUGGGGGUGAAAGGCCAAUCAAACCGGGAGAUAGCUGGUUCUCCCCGAAAGCUAUUUAGGUAGCGCCUCGUGAACUCAUCUCCGGGGGUAGAGCACUGUUUCGGCUAGGGGGCCAUCCCGGCUUACCAACCCGAUGCAAACUGCGAAUACCGGAGAAUGUUAUCACGGGAGACACACGGCGGGUGCUAACGUCCGUCGUGAAGAGGGAAACAACCCAGACCGCCAGCUAAGGUCCCAAAGUCAUGGUUAAGUGGGAAACGAUGUGGGAAGGCCCAGACAGCCAGGAUGUUGGCUUAGAAGCAGCCAUCAUUUAAAGAAAGCGUAAUAGCUCACUGGUCGAGUCGGCCUGCGCGGAAGAUGUAACGGGGCUAAACCAUG
This 606-nucleotide ribosomal RNA is filed under the name Salmonella enterica subsp. enterica serovar Abony. RNAcentral's name for it is "partial 23S ribosomal RNA". It matches the Rfam family "Bacterial large subunit ribosomal RNA", at positions 583 to 1191 of the family's 2925-position model. Lineage: Bacteria; Pseudomonadati; Pseudomonadota; Gammaproteobacteria; Enterobacterales; Enterobacteriaceae. The record is from RNAcentral.